AUUGGACGCUGGCGGCAUGCUUUACACAUGCAAGUCGAGCGGUAACAGCCCUUCGGGUGCUGACGAGUGGCGAACGGGUGAGUAAUGCAUCGGAACGUACCCAGAGGUGGGGGAUAACGCAGCGAAAGCUGUGCUAAUACCGCAUGUGAUCUGAGGAUGAAAGCGGGGGACCGAGCAGCAAUGUUUGACCUCGCGCCUUUGGAGCGGCCGAUGUCGGAUUAGCUAGUUGGUGGGGUAAAGGCCUACCAAGGCGACGAUCCGUAGCUGGUCUGAGAGGACGACCAGCCACACUGGGACUGAGACACGGCCCAGACUCCUACGGGAGGCAGCAGUGGGGAAUUUUGGACAAUGGGCGCAAGCCUGAUCCAGCAAUGCCGCGUGCGGGAAGAAGGCCUUCGGGUUGUAAACCGCUUUUGGCAGGAACGAAACGGUGUCCGCUAAUACCGGGCGCUAAUGACGGUACCUGCAGAAUAAGCACCGGCUAACUACGUG
Molecule: ribosomal RNA, 492 nt
Filed under: uncultured bacterium
Lineage: Bacteria
Description: partial 16S ribosomal RNA
Rfam family: Bacterial small subunit ribosomal RNA
Source: RNAcentral